AGUAGAACUAUAUUGGCUAGAAUAGUGUGUUAAGCCGCAAUUCCACUGAGGCAACUUUUAAGCAACAUGUAGCAUGCGGCAUUGACGCAUACUACACACAGUCUUUCCAUAGAAGGAACACAAAGCAACAAAAAAUAUGUCUCCUUGCCGCAUGCUACAAGUUGACCGUUGUUGCCUAUCGAUUGCGUCAUCUCUCGACAUGAUUCAACGUGUCGAACCGUGUCGCUGUCUAUCCAACAGUCAACGGAUCGGUGCGGCUUGGAGCAGGCAACAUGGAGUGGACAAACGAAAAAACUGUCUUUUAUUGGCGAUUACCAUAAUUCCCCCGAAUUAUGGAAUAAUAAAAUCCCCGAAUACAAAGAUUUAAGAAUUAAAAACGAUAAGUUGAAACAAUUAUCAGGUAAAUACAAUUAUUGUACGAUGAUGGAGGUAAAAAUAAAUGGUUUAUUUAUUAAUGGUUAAUGUAUUUAAAUAGGAAAAUAUAAUUGUACGGUGAUGGAGGUAAAAAAAA
Molecule: long non-coding RNA, 511 nt
Filed under: Androctonus crassicauda
Lineage: Eukaryota; Metazoa; Arthropoda; Arachnida; Scorpiones; Buthidae
Source: RNAcentral